GAUCAUGGCUCAGAACGAACGCUGGCGGCGCGUUUAAGCAUGCAAGUCGAGCGGCAAGGGCCUUCGGGCCCCUAGAGCGGCGGACGGGUGAGUAACACGUGGACAAUCCUGCCCCCCGGCCCGGGAUAGCCCCAGGGAAACCUGGAUUAAUACCGGAUGAGACGGGACCCGCGAUGGCGGGACCCGGGAAAGGCGCUGCGGCGCCGCCGGGGGAUGAGUCUGCGUCCCAUUAGCUAGACGGCGGGGUAACGGCCCACCGUGGCGACGAUGGGUAGCCGGCCUGAGAGGGUGGACGGCCACAUUGGAACUGAGACACGGUCCAGACUCCUACGGGAGGCAGCAGCUAAGAAUCUUCCGCAAUGGGCGAAAGCCUGACGGAGCGACGCCCGCGUGAACGAAGAAGGCCGUGAGGUUGUAAAGUUCUUUUCGGGAGGGGGAACAACCGUGGCAGGGAAUGGCCGCGGGAUGACGUGAAUCCCGGAAUAAGCCCCGGCUAACUACGUGCCAGCCGCUGC
Molecule: ribosomal RNA, 515 nt
Filed under: uncultured bacterium
Lineage: Bacteria
Description: bacterial SSU rRNA
Rfam family: Bacterial small subunit ribosomal RNA
Source: RNAcentral